Small nuclear RNA from Gouania willdenowi (blunt-snouted clingfish), 166 nucleotides. Its record names the gene U1. It matches the Rfam family "U1 spliceosomal RNA". From Rfam's summary of the family: U1 is a small nuclear RNA (snRNA) component of the spliceosome (involved in pre-mRNA splicing). Its 5' end forms complementary base pairs with the 5' splice junction, thus defining the 5' donor site of an intron. NCBI's taxonomy places the organism in Eukaryota, Metazoa, Chordata, Actinopteri, Blenniiformes, Gobiesocidae. The record is from Ensembl.
AUACUUACCUGGCAGGGGAGACACCAUGAUCAUGAAGGUGGUUCACCCAGGGUGAGACCCAGCCAUUGCACAUUCCGGUUGGGUUGACCCCUGCGAAUUCCCCAAAUGUGGGAAUCUCGACUGCAUAAUUUCUGGUAGUGGGGGACUGCGUUCGCGCUCUCCCCUG